AACGAACGCUGGCGGCAUGCCUAACACAUGCAAGUCGAACGAGACCUUCGGGUCUAGUGGCGCACGGGUGCGUAACGCGUGGGAAUCUGCCCUUGGGUUCGGAAUAACAGUUGGAAACGACUGCUAAUACCGGAUGAUGACGUAAGUCCAAAGAUUUAUCGCCCAAGGAUGAGCCCGCGUAGGAUUAGCUAGUUGGUGAGGUAAAGGCUCACCAAGGCGACGAUCCUUAGCUGGUCUGAGAGGAUGAUCAGCCACACUGGGACUGAGACACGGCCCAGACUCCUACGGGAGGCAGCAGUGGGGAAUAUUGGACAAUGGGCGAAAGCCUGAUCCAGCAAUGCCGCGUGAGUGAUGAAGGCCUUAGGGUUGUAAAGCUCUUUUACCCGGGAUGAUAAUGACAGUACCGGAAGAAUAAGCUCCGGCUAACUCCGUG
This 433-nucleotide ribosomal RNA is filed under the name uncultured bacterium. RNAcentral describes it as "partial 16S ribosomal RNA". It matches the Rfam family "Bacterial small subunit ribosomal RNA", at positions 29 to 507 of the family's 1533-position model. The record is from RNAcentral.